UAGUGAAGGAGUGUGCAUGUGUAAAUUUCAUUCCGUGCUUUUUUUUUUGGUUUUUUUCGGCUUGCAAACAAAAGCGGAAAAAAGAAAAGCACGGAAUGAAAAGUUGCGGCGACCC
Molecule: microRNA precursor, 115 nt
Filed under: Trypanosoma vivax Y486
Lineage: Eukaryota; Euglenozoa; Kinetoplastea; Trypanosomatida; Trypanosomatidae
Source: RNAcentral